RNAcentral lists this long non-coding RNA (1569 nucleotides) under Homo sapiens (human). RNAcentral's name for it is "non-protein coding lnc-TRIM43-6:1". Lineage: Eukaryota; Metazoa; Chordata; Mammalia; Primates; Hominidae. The record is from RNAcentral.
UUCCCUUGAGCAGUCCACGCCUUGUGGCGGCUUUGCGGAGCUGCUGCUUUGGCGGGAGUUGGAAGCUGGUGUGAGGUUUCUGUGGGGAGAAGGAGAGUGCCAGAGGUGACUGGUUCGUGGUUCUUCUAGGCUCUCAUGGCCACCAUGUUGGAAGGCAGAUGCCAAACUCAGCCAAGGAGCAGCCCCAGUGGCCGAGAGGCUAGCCUGUGGUCGUCAGGCUUUGGGAUGAAGCUGGAGGCUGUCACUCCAUUCCUGGGCAAGUAUCGCCCCUUUGUGGGUCGCUGUUGCCAGACCUGCACCCCCAAGAGCUGGGAGUCCCUCUUCCACAGAAGCAUAACGGACCUAGGCUUCUGCAAUGUGAUCCUGGUGAAGGAGGAGAACACAAGGUUUCGGGGCUGGCUGGUUCGGAGGCUCUGCUAUUUCCUGUGGUCCCUGGAGCAGCACAUCCCCCCCUGCCAGGAUGUCCCACAGAAGAUCAUGGAAAGCACCGGGGUGCAGAACCUCCUCUCAGGGAGGGUCCCAGGAGGCACUGGGGAAGGCCAGGUGCCUGACCUUGUGAAGAAGGAGGUACAGCGCAUCCUGGGUCACAUCCAGGCCCCACCCCGUCCCUUCCUGGUCAGGCUGUUCAGCUGGGCGCUGCUGAGGUUCCUGAACUGCCUGUUCCUGAAUGUGCAGCUCCACAAGGGUCAGAUGAAGAUGGUCCAGAAGGCCGCCCAGGCAGUAAGGCCCGCCCUCCAUUGGGUUGGGGAUGGUGGGAGCAGAAGAGCAGAGGCUGGGCCAAGCCCUUAAGUCAGGAGCAGUCCCCAUCUGGUCCUGCUUCCUGGCCUCUCUGUUCCCAGCCAUACAGCAGUCCAGUCCCCAUCAGCUGGUGGGAAAAAUCCCCUGCUCUUUGCCGACCUUCCCUUAUGUCUCACGGCCCUGCUCCCAUGGGGCUUCCUCUAACGUCUUUCCAUCAUGGUCUUAACAACCAUGACGUCAGUGCGUCGGUGCAGUUACCUUAAGAGUUGUCUAAAGGCUCCUUUGCUUUUGGGAAAUGUGCUCAGAGGAAGAACUCUGCAGCUGAACUGUCCCUCCCUCUGGGGCUGCCCUGGGUCUUUGGCUGCCUGUGUCCUCAGGGUGGGGCAGGUUGGCACUUCCCUCUGGCUCUCCCCGGAGCAGGGCUUGCCGCUUGUCCUCCUCUCUACUCACAAAACCCUCCUGGAUGGGAUCCUGCUGCCCUUUAUGCUGCUCUCCCAGGGCCUGGGUGUGCUUCGUGUGGCCUGGGACUCCCGCGCCUGCUCCCCUGCCCUCAGAGCUCUGCUGAGGAAGCUUGGGGGGCUUUUCCUGCCCCCAGAGGCCAGCCUCUCCCUGGACAGCUCUGAGGGGCUCCUUGCCAGGGCUGUGGUCCAGGCGGUCAUAGAGCAGCUGCUGGUUAGUGGGCAGCCCCUGCUCAUCUUCCUGGAGGAACCUCCUGGGGCUCUGGGGCCACGGCUGUCAGCCCUGGGCCAGGCUUGGGUGGGGUUUGUGGUGCAGGCAGUCCAGGUGGGCAUCGUCCCAGAUGCUCUGCUGGUACCAGUGGCCGUCACCUAU